RNAcentral lists this ribosomal RNA (495 nucleotides) under uncultured bacterium. RNAcentral's name for it is "partial 16S ribosomal RNA". It matches the Rfam family "Bacterial small subunit ribosomal RNA", at positions 28 to 523 of the family's 1533-position model. The record is from RNAcentral.
GACGAACGCUGGCGGCGUGCUUAACACAUGCAAGUUGAACGGUAUGACAUGGAAGCUUGCUGAAGUGUCAUAUAGUAGCGGACGGGUGAGUAAUGCAUGAGAAGCUGCCAUUGGGAGGGGGACAACAGUUGGAAACGGCUGCUAAUACCCCGUAUGCCGGAAGGUGAAAGGGAGCGAUCCGCCCGAUGAGGAGCUCAUGUCCUAUCAGCUAGUUGGUGGGGUAAGGGCCUCCCAAGGCGACGAUCUGUAGCGGGUCUGAGGGGAUGAUCCGCAACACUGGGAAGGAGACACGGCCCAGACUCCUACGGGAGGCAGCAGUGGGGAAUAUUGGACAAUGGGGGGAACCCUGAUCCAGCCAUGCCGCGUGUGUGAAGAAGGCCUUUUGGUUGUAAAGCACUUGAAGCGAGGAGGAGGCUACCGAGAUUAAUACUCUUGGAUAGUGGACGUUACUCGCAGAAUAAGCACCGGCUAACUCUGUGCCAGCAGCCGCCGUAA